UUCGGUGGAAAGUGGCGAAAGGGUGAGUAACGCGUGGGUAAUCUGCCUCUAAGUUGGGAAUAGCCCCGCGAAAGCGGGGCUAAUGCCGAAUGUGGUCUUCCGGCGCCGGCCGGGACGACUAAAGAUGGGGACCCUUCGGAACCUGUCGCUUGGAGAGGGGCCCGCGUACCAUCAGCUUGUUGGUAGGGUAACGGCCUACCAAGGCUUACGGUUAGCUGGUCUGAGAGGAUGAUCAGCCACACUGGGACUGAGACACUGCCCAGACUCCUACGGGAGGCUGCAGUCGAGGAUCAUUCACAAUGCGCGAAAGCGUGAUGAUGCGACGCUGCGUGGAGGAUGAAGGACUUAGGGUUGUAAACUCCUGUCAUUCGGGAAAAAUGGUUCCGUCCCCAAUACGGGCGGGAAUUGAUAGUACCUCAAGAGGAAGUCACGGCUAACUCUGUGCCAGCAGCCGCGGUAAUACAGAGGUGGCAAACGUUGUUCGGAUUUACUGGGCGUAAAGGGUGCGUAGGUGGAUUUGUGUGUUGGAUGUGAAAUCCCACGGCUCAACCGUGGAACUGCAUUCGAAACUGCGGAGCUAGAGUACAGGAGGGGAGAGCGGAAUUCUUGGUGUAGCGGUGAAAUGCGUUGAUAUCAAGAAGAACACCGGUGGCGAAGGCGGCUCUCUGGAAUGUUACUGACACUGAUGCACGAAAGCUGGGGGAGCGAACAGGAUUAGAUACCCUGGUAGUCCCAGCCGUAAACGGUGUGCACUUGGUGUGGGGGGUAUUGACCCUCCCCGUGCCGGAGCUAACGCGUUAAGUCGACCGCCUGGGGAGUACGGCCGCAAGGUUAAAACUCAAAGAAAUUGACGGGGGCCCGCACAAGCGGAGGAGCAUGUGGCUUAAUUCGAUGCAACGCGAAGAACCUUACCAGGGCUUGACAUGCAGCUGCAUUCCCCUUGAAAGGGGGGAAGCCUUCGAGGGUGCUGCACAGGUGCUGCAUGGCUGUCGUCAGUUCGUGCCGUGAGGUGUUGGGUUAAGUCCCGCAACGAACGCAACCCCUGUGUCUAGUUGCCAGCGAGUAAUGUCGGGGACUCUAGACAGACUGCCUGUGUAAGCAGGAGGAAGGUGGGGACGACGUCAAGUCAGUAUGGCCCUUACGCCCUGGGCUGCACACGUGCUACAAUGGCCGGUACAAUGGGAUGCAAUAUCGCGAGGUGGAGCAAAUCCUCAAAGCCGGUCCCAGUUCGGAUUGGAGUCUGCAACCCGACUCCAUGAAGUUGGAUUCGCUAGUAACGGCGCAUCAGCUACGGCGCCGUGAUACGUUCCCGGGCCUUGUACACACCGCCCGUCACAUCAUGAAAGCCGUCUGCACCCGAAGUCGCUGUACCAACCCGCAAGGGAGGCAGGUGCCGAAGGUGUGGGUG
RNAcentral lists this ribosomal RNA (1408 nucleotides) under uncultured prokaryote. RNAcentral's name for it is "partial 16S ribosomal RNA". It matches the Rfam family "Bacterial small subunit ribosomal RNA". The record is from RNAcentral.